This is a long non-coding RNA of Sitophilus oryzae (rice weevil), 113 nucleotides long. RefSeq lists it as uncharacterized. The record is from RefSeq and is a predicted model, not a curated record. Lineage: Eukaryota; Metazoa; Arthropoda; Insecta; Coleoptera; Curculionidae. The transcript is spliced from 2 exons.
UGAUUUGGCGGAAAAAAAUGUUCUUAAUUAUUUUUCCCACAUGAUGUCCUUUCAGGUUCCAGGAAACAGCACGGGCAUGUAUUAGGCAUAAUAAGUAAUUAUAAAAAUAUGAG